Molecule: transfer RNA, 81 nt
Filed under: Apaloderma vittatum (bar-tailed trogon)
Lineage: Eukaryota; Metazoa; Chordata; Aves; Trogoniformes; Trogonidae
Rfam family: tRNA
About the family: Transfer RNA (tRNA) molecules are approximately 80 nucleotides in length. Their secondary structure includes four short double-helical elements and three loops (D, anti-codon, and T loops). Further hydrogen bonds mediate the characteristic L-shaped molecular structure. tRNAs have two regions of fundamental functional importance: the anti-codon, which is responsible for specific mRNA codon recognition, and the 3' end, to which the tRNAs corresponding amino acid is attached (by aminoacyl-tRNA synthetases). tRNAs cope with the degeneracy of the genetic code in two manners: having more than one tRNA (with a specific anti-codon) for a particular amino acid; and 'wobble' base-pairing, i.e. permitting non-standard base-pairing at the 3rd anti-codon position.
Source: Rfam by way of RNAcentral
GGCUAGUUAGCUCAGUGAGGUGAGCACACUGCUGACAACAAUGACAACACCGAGGUCGCGGGUUCGAUUCCCGCUUGGUCC